This 1448-nucleotide ribosomal RNA is filed under the name uncultured Bacteroidota bacterium. RNAcentral describes it as "bacterial SSU rRNA". It matches the Rfam family "Bacterial small subunit ribosomal RNA". The record is from RNAcentral. Lineage: Bacteria; Pseudomonadati; Bacteroidota.
GAUAAACGCUAGCGGCAGGCCUAACACAUGCAAGUCGAGGGGCAUCGCGGGUGGCAACACCUGGCGGCGACCGGCGGACGGGUGCGCAACGCGUGAGCAACCAACCUUAUGCUGGGGGAUAACCCGGAGAAAUUCGGACUAAGACCGCAUGUUUUUGCGGGGGGGCAUCCCUCCGUGAGCAAAUAUUUAUAGGCAUAAGACGGGCUCGCGUCCCAUUAGGAAGUUGGCGGGGUAACGGCCCACCAAUCCUGUGAUGGGUAGGGGUUCUGAGAGGAUUCACCCCCACAUCGGCACUGAGACACGGGCCGAACUCCUACGGGAGGCAGCAGUGAGGAAUAUUGGACAAUGGGCGGAAGCCUGAUCCAGCCAUGCCGCGUGCAGGAAGACGGCCCUACGGGUUGUAAACUGCUUUUUUCACGGAGCAAUGUCGUCCACGUGUUGGGCGUUUGAGAGUACGUGGGGAAUAAGCACCGGCUAACUCCGUGCCAGCAGCCGCGGUAAUACGGAGGGUGCGAGCGUUAUCCGGAUUUAUUGGGUUUAAAGGGUGCGUAGGCGGGUUGGUAAGUCGGCGGUGAAAUUUACGCGCUUAACGCGUGCAGUGCCGUUGAUACUGUCGACCUAGAGUACGAGCGAGGCUGGCGGAAUGCGCGGUGUAGCGGUGAAAUGCAUAGAUAUCGCGCAGAACUCCGAUUGCGAAGGCAGCUGGCCAGCUCGCCACUGACGCUGAGGCACGACAGCGUGGGGAUCAAACAGGAUUAGAUACCCUGGUAGUCCACGCCGUAAACGAUGAGCGCUCGCUGCCUGGCGGGAGACCGCAGGGUGGCCAAGCGAAAGCGUUAAGCGCUCCACCUGGGGAGUACGGCCGCAAGGCUGAAACUCAAAGGAAUUGACGGGGGCCCGCACAAGCGGAGGAACAUGUGGUUUAAUUCGAUGAUACGCGAGGAACCUUACCCGGGCUUGAAAGUUAGUGACGGACAUGGAAACAUGUCUUCCCUUCGGGGCACGAAACUAGGUGCUGCAUGGUUGUCGUCAGCUCGUGCCGUGAGGUGUCGGAUUAAGUUCCAUAACGAGCGCAACCCUUGCCGUUAGUUGCCAUCAAGUGAUGUUGGGCACUCUAACGGGACUGCCGGUGUAAGCCGAGAGGAAGGUGGGGAUGACGUCAAAUCAGCACGGCCCUUACGUCCGGGGCGACACACGUGUUACAAUGGUCGGUACAGGGGGCAGCUACCCAGCGAUGGGAUGCGAAUCUCGAAAGCCGAUCUCAGUUCGGAUCGGAGGCUGAAACUCGCCUCCGUGAAGUUGGAUUCGCUAGUAAUCGCGCAUCAGCCAUGGCGCGGUGAAUACGUUCCCGGGCCUUGUACACACCGCCCGUCAAGCCAUGGAAGCCGGGGGUGCCUGAAGUACGCGACCGCAAGGAGCGUCCUAGGGCAAAACUGGUGACUGGGGCU